CUCUAGUUAAAAUAUGAAUUUGAUUUUAGUACGAUUCAUCUGUCAAACAAUAAUAUAUGACUAAAUUGCUAGAUAGAUGAUCAUAAUCUAUUGAUAGAUAUCUUACAAUUUAUUAUCAUAUUGAACGUAACCUCUAAGUAGGAUCGGAUCUACUUUUAUGUGAAUUCUAAUCAAUUUGAGGCAUAAUAUCUUCAUCUUUCAUUUCACGUAUGCUUAAUUGAUAGCAAGAACAUGUUCCGAAGCAACCCCAUUCUGCACAUGCCUCCAUCAGCUUCGAUAGUUGCCCAGGAAAAUCUGUUGGUGUUUAUCUGUGAUUAACUUCGACUAUAAAUAUAAAUGUUAGAUGGUUGGCAAAAUAAUUAUAGUUGCAAUUUGGUCAGGUGAUUCGUGUAAAUAGAACAAAAAGCUAUCUAAAUGUUAAUUACCUGAAGUUGAGAUUCAAGAUAUUCAAGGAUAGUAGCCCCCAUUUAGCUUCCUUUUUCUUUAAUUUUUUUUCUUUUCACUAUUAUUUUUAACUACACAAUCUUCCAUAAAAA
This 536-nucleotide long non-coding RNA is filed under the name Olea europaea subsp. europaea. The record is from RNAcentral. Lineage: Eukaryota; Viridiplantae; Streptophyta; Magnoliopsida; Lamiales; Oleaceae.